RNAcentral lists this ribosomal RNA (119 nucleotides) under Photobacterium alginatilyticum. The record is from RNAcentral. Lineage: Bacteria; Pseudomonadati; Pseudomonadota; Gammaproteobacteria; Vibrionales; Vibrionaceae.
GGGUGCGAUCAUACCAGCACUAAUGCACYGGAUCCCAUCAGAACUCCGCAGUUAAGCGUGCUUGGGCGAGAGUAGUACUAGGAUGGGUGACCCCCUGGUAAGKCCUCGUKUUGCACCCC